CGCGUCUNCCAUGCAGUUCGAACGAUGAACCACUUCGGUGGGGAUUAGUGGCGAACGGGUUGAGUAACACGUGGGCAAUCUGCCCUGCACUCUGGGACAAGCCCUGGAAACGGGGUCUAAUACCGGAUACUGACCCGCCUGGGCAUCCAGGCGGUUCGAAAGCUCCGGCGGUGCAGGAUGAGCCCGCGGCCUAUCAGCUUGUUGGUGAGGUAACGGCUCACCAAGGCGACGACGGGUAGCCGGCCUGAGAGGGCGACCGGCCACACUGGGACUGAGACACGGCCCAGACUCCUACGGGAAGGCAGCAGA
This 309-nucleotide ribosomal RNA is filed under the name Streptomyces sp. RNC-15-20-9b. RNAcentral's name for it is "bacterial SSU rRNA". It matches the Rfam family "Bacterial small subunit ribosomal RNA", at positions 54 to 354 of the family's 1533-position model. The record is from RNAcentral. Lineage: Bacteria; Bacillati; Actinomycetota; Actinomycetes; Kitasatosporales; Streptomycetaceae.